Molecule: long non-coding RNA, 4909 nt
Organism: Ctenopharyngodon idella (grass carp)
Lineage: Eukaryota; Metazoa; Chordata; Actinopteri; Cypriniformes; Xenocyprididae
Exons: 2
Source: RefSeq, a predicted model, not a curated record
AACCCAGGAGCGGGAGUUUAUUGAAACCAAUGGAGAUCAAACAGGUGAGGAAUGUGAGGUAAGUAUGCAGGUACAUUAAUAGAUACUUUGAAGAGUCUUUAAAGGUUUAGUUCCCCCCAAAAUGAAAAUUCUGUGGACGUUUUCAAGAGGAUGUUUGACUGACAUGUAACGCAACCAAUUACAGUUCAUUUUGUUCACGUCAUGUUUAGGGGCGUGAAAAUGAAAGUCGAUGUCCCUACAAUAACAGACCGGCUUGCAUCUAAUAAAUUAUUCAUUCAAGAAUGUUGUGCAAGUUUACUGCAACAAUGGAGCUGCAAAAUUUACAUACUUUUGAAACUCCAGCAAUUUUUUUGUUCCUGGUAAGCACUCGUUGUCACAGUUGUAAACACAAUGGCGUUCUUCUUCUACGAGGGGAUUUGGCGUCAUGGCCUUUGUUUCUAGGCGGACCGUUAAAGAACGCAACACGCAUCUCCCGCACAUCCUGUAGAAUUUAACCAACCGAUGACGACUUCGAAACUCCUGAAGUGUUUCCAGUUAAGCUUGCCAUAUGCAUCAGACAUUCAGCCAACCGUCCAUGGGCGUGAUGUCUGAGGCUGAGACUAGGGGUGAACUAUCCCUUUAAGAAGUUCAGAAAACAUAAACAGAACGCGAUUCACCAAUCGCGAUGACAGGUAAGUGUCACAUGUCUUUUCUUUUCAAAUUAGGGACUUAAAAUCAAGAAAUCAAGUAAACGGAGUGCAAGUGAGCAAUUAAAAUAUAAAUCCAAACGAGAUGGUGAUUAGCUAUGGGUCUGUAUGAUUACAAUUCAGGCAAGUGAGAGCGGGUGACUGAAGGCGAGGGAGGUGUCUACAAUGUGCUGUGACUGAACCUCCACAUCCACCAAACUUUUAUCUAACAAUCCAUGGGGGAGUGGAGGGAGGAACGAGGAACCAGGGAGGAGAUGACAAUGGAAGGAGCCAGGGAGGAGAUGACUGUGGGAGAAGCCAGGGAAGAGACAAUGGUGGGAGGAGCCAGGGAGUGACCCCAAGCAGGAGCACCAGGAUGCGGGCCCACAGCAGAGUCGAAAGAAGGGAGGAGCCAUGGUUGAGCCUUGGUGGAGAUGCUAGGCGGAACCAGGGGGAUGACUGACUGAGGUGGAACUAGUGAAGAUGGAGACCCAGGCAGAUCCAAAGAGACUGGGUAACAAUGAAGGUUCUGGUGACCAAGGCAGAACUGCGGGGAGGAGCGGCCUUGGUGAAGACAGGGUACCAGAAGACUGAGGCGGAGCCAGUGCAACUAAGGACUGAAGUGAAGCCAGAAGGAAGGAGGAACCCAACAGAGCCAAAGGGGUAGAGGGAUGAGUCGCAGACAAAGGCCCGGAAGUGCAUGGCGAAGGCAGAGCAAUGACUGACCAAGGCGGAGCCAGAGGGACGAGGAAGCCCUGUAGAGCCGUAAGGAUGACGCUCCCAGGUGGAGCCGAGGAAGCAAGGAGCUGAGGUGGAGCCAACAGAUUGAUGGGCCAAGGUGGAGUGAUGGGCUUUAAGGUUAGAAGUGGAGCCAGAGGGUCAACACACCAGAAGCUGCUAGGUGUAGCCAGCAUAGGAGGAGUUGAAGGGCAGAAUGGAGCCAGCGGAGACAGGGCCAAAGAACUGGGUAGCAAAGGCAAAGGGUUUCAAGAUGGCCUUCUUGGAUAUGGCAGAGACUUCAGGAACAGCAGAGGAGGUGGGAGUGGGAGGCAGAGAGCAUCAACAACGAAAGAGACUUGGAGCUGGCCGACAAGCCACACAGCCACAGCACAGUACUGGCAUAGUACGCGACUCAGUAUUGGCCGACGCUGUUCAUAAAAUUAAGGUUGAACCACUGUAGUCAAGUGGACUAUUUUAACGAUUCUACCUUUCUUAGCCUUGAAAGUGGUAAUUAAAUUGCUGUCCAUGGAGGAGUCAGAGAGCUCUCAGAUUUCAUCAAAAAUAUCUUAAGUUGUGUUCUUAUGGGUCUUAUGGGUUUGGAACGACACGACGGUGAGUCAUUAAUGACAGAAUUUUCAUUUUUGGGUGAACUAACCUUUUAAAAGCACAGUCUUUUCAAGAAAUCAGGUAAACAAAACAUUAUUAAAGGUCUUUCAAAAUCCAAAAAUGGUAAGUAAUACAGGUAAGUAUCCAAUAAACAGUUUACAUAAUCACUUAUCUCUUUAACAGUUAUCUCAAUAAAAAUUGUCCAUCAACAGGUAAAAAAAACACACAGGUAAGGCUUUUCCAACAAAUAAUAGUGCAAAAUGUGAGUCCAUGUAACAUACAACAAGGCCAGACCCUGAUUGAGUGCAAAUGAAUGGUUUAAAUACAAGUCCAAACGAGAUGGUGAUUUGCUGCAGAACAAAGUACAGCCAGAGUGAUUAGAGAGCAGACGGCUCAGUAUGCUUUUAAAUUGCUCUUGCAGUACUUUGACAUCAUACACCGAUCAGUCUGCACAGUGCCGCUUCAAGUCGAACACACAUAAUAACCAGGUUCCACACAGAUUGUGCAUAUGCCAUAUGGUUUUGCUUGUCAUCUGCUCUUGUGACAGGAAUUGAAUGCACUAUUUAACGGGACCACUAGUUGGCAUCACUCACAGUUGAUUUGUUACUUUUAAGAACUAGUUGAAGAAGAGGAUGGAAAAUGCCAGAAAAUAAAAUAAAAACAACAAAAGACAAAGUUGAAAACAACAAAAAAUGGAAAUACAGUACAAGGAGGUUAGAUGUUGCGCUGAAAUACCAUUCACAAAGUUGUGAAACUUUAUAGUGAAUUUACUCCCAAGUGUUACGUUUGCUACUGUGAAAAGACGUUUACUCCUGAGAAACACUAAUAUUCUCAUUCACUGUUGUGGACUAGAUUGUCUUGAGACGUCGAGCUACGCUGUAUGUGGUGAACCUCCUGAUUCCCAGCAGCUUCUUGCUUUCUUUGGAUCUCUUCAGCUUCCUCCUGCCUCCUCAAAGUGUGGACCGUGCUUCCUUCAAAAUGACACUCAUCCUAGGUUACACCGUCUUCCUGCUACUAAUGAAUGACCUGCUGCCUGUCACUGGAAACAACUUACCUCUUAUAAGUAAUUAAACCUUCUUAUUCUCUACCUUUGCAUAUUUUCAGAAUCAGAAUCAGAAAGAGCUUUAUUGCCAAAUGUGCUUGCACACACAUGGAAUUUUUCUUGGUUCUGAAGCUUCCAGUGCACAUAAACAAUACAACAAGAAACACAAAUAUAAAACAGAUAAAAGUAUAAAGACACUAGAUUUAGUCCUAAUAAACAUUUACAGAUUAUGAAAAUAUUUACAGUAUUAUGAAUAAAUAUAAAUAUUAGCUGAGUUUGCAAAGAUAUUGCACUAAGCAGAGGGGUAUUGCACUUACAGGCAUAUGCCUUGGAAGGCAUUUAUCAGUUCAAGAGGGAAAUGGCCUCUUUUAUCUUCACCCUGCUGAAAAGGCCAGAUGGUCACCAGCAUACGUUGAUGGUUUCUAGAAUGGGAUGCUGGUGCAACCUACCCUUCACUGGAGCUGACCAGUGUAAUCAUGAAGAUGGCUCUGGUUAAUCAGCUUAAAACCGACAGUUGUAUGCAUGGAUUUUCAAAGUAUACUUUUAAUGUUUACGCUCAGAGGAGGUUGAAACGUGCAUUACAACAACUUGCACUCUGUGGACAGAAUGUUUCAUCCUUGCAACCUUGCCCAGUGUCUGUGCAAUUUCUCACAAUGAGUUAUAAGCCAAAUACACAUCUUGUUAAUAUUUUAGGCUAGAGUUGUACAAAUACGGGUACUUUCUAACCUCUUCGCACCUUGUGGACAAAUUAAUUAGUGCAAAAAAUAUUCAAUGCGCAUGUGUGGUUAGGACGCUAGUAUACAUGUAAAAAGUGAUGUGUACAUUGGGCUUAAGUUUUUCUGGUCUAGGUUGUAGCAAAACCUGCGUGAACUGCCUUUCUCAAAAGCAUCAUAGACCAUCAAAGGUGCUAAUGGUCUCUACAGUCUUCUACUGUACUUAUGCUUAAGAGGCUUUUGGGAAACACAGCCCAGGACUCUUUCAGAAGCAUAGGUAAUCCUUCUUCACCUCCAGCCUUAUCUGAUCUAAUCUUUCUCUCUCAAUCUAGAUGUGUUUUUCUCUCUCUGCAUGGCCUUGAUGGUAGCAAGUCUACUUGAGACUGUCCUCAUCACCAAUAUCUUGUGUGGUUCCCGUGACUUUCCUCCUUUACCUAAGUGGCUCAGGAUUCUGGUCCUGAAAUAUCUGGCUCAACUUGCUUGUAUGAAGAAAUCUUGUGAAGAAAACUCUGAAGGAAAUGGAUCUGAGAGCACUUUCUACAAAAACACCAUGACUGAUAUUCCAAAGAAAGAACAAGUUAGUGCAAGUCCAGUGAGAGUCUGGGAUCAAUGUCUAGAGGAAAUGAAGAAGAUGAGUAAAGAUUUAUUGGCCAUCCGCCAGCAAGUUGAAGAGCACUUCAGUAAUGACAACAGCACUGAUGAAUGGAUGAUGUUUGGUCAGGUCAUUGACCGUGUGCUCUUUAUACUGUAUACUGUCUUUAUUGUUGUGAGUUUAAGCACAAUUAUGGUUCUGUGGCUGCACUCGUACAGUCUAGACAAAAAGUCAUAGAAUAUUAUUGCCUGCUUUGCGAACUGAAGACACCAAAUGUCUGAUGAUGUCAAUGGGGCCCAGAUUUAUUUCUGAUGUAAUGCAAAGGAUCAUCAACAAAAUACCCUUUAUAGGUGCUUUAUGUGUCCUAAUACUUAUAAUUGCAUAGAAUUAUGGCACACUUUUCUGCUCUAGAAUUCAAAAAAUAUAUAUUUAAACUUAAUUUUUAACUUGAAUCUGACAUUUUGUUUUAUUUGUCUUAUUAGUUUUGGUACAGCAUGAAUAGCAAUUUUGAUUGUAGUCACUAUCCAGUUAAGUUUGAGGAAAACUUAUAAUAAAAAUAUCAACAAACUUU